UGGGGAAUAUUGCACAAUGGGGGAAACCCUGAUGCAGCGACGCCGCGUGAGCGAAGAAGGCUUUCGAGUCUUAAAGCUCUGUCCUAUGAGAAGAUAAUGACGGUAUCAUAGGAGGAAGCCCUGGCUAAAUACGUGCCAGCAGCCGCGGUAAUACGUAUGGGGCGAGCGUUGUCCGGAAUUAUUGGGCGUAAAGGGUACGUAGGCGGUUUUUUAAGUCAGGUGUCAAAGCGUGGGGCUUAACACCAUUAAGCACUUGAAACUGAAAGACUUGAGUGAAGGAGAGGAAAGUGGAAUUCCUAGUGUAGCGGUGAAAUGCGUAGAUAUCACACAGAACGCCGAUUGCGCAGGCAGCGUACUACGUUACAACUGACACUGAAGCACGAAAGCGUGGGUAUCAAACAGG
Molecule: ribosomal RNA, 403 nt
Filed under: Verrucomicrobiota bacterium
Lineage: Bacteria; Pseudomonadati; Verrucomicrobiota
Description: Verrucomicrobia bacterium partial 16S ribosomal RNA
Rfam family: Bacterial small subunit ribosomal RNA
Source: RNAcentral